RNAcentral lists this non-coding RNA (180 nucleotides) under Paenalicyclobacillus ferrooxydans. RNAcentral describes it as "Alicyclobacillus ferrooxydans 6S / SsrS RNA". It matches the Rfam family "6S / SsrS RNA". Rfam says of the family: E. coli 6S RNA was the first non coding RNA to be sequenced, but its function was unknown until recently. It consists of 184 nucleotides that fold into an extended hairpin structure with a large single-stranded internal bulge. The record is from Rfam by way of RNAcentral. Lineage: Bacteria; Bacillati; Bacillota; Bacilli; Caryophanales; Alicyclobacillaceae.
AGAACCCUGCGAUGUUCGUGAAGCGUAUUGUGUUUUAACCGAUGCGCACGAUAAGGGAACUUGCGUUCAGCCUUCAAACAAAUGCCGCCUUAGCUUGCGGACUUGUGAAAAUGCGGACAGAGUACCCACCUGCUUAGAGCAGGUUUAAAACCGUGGGCUUUACGGCAAAGCGGGACAGUU